AGCUCCAAUAGCGUAUAUUUAAGUUGUUGCAGUUAAAAAGCUCGUAGUUGGAUUUCGGGCGUGGAGGUUCGGUCCGCCGUUUCGGUGUGCACUGUCUGUCUGCGUCUUUCUGCCGGGGACGCGCUUCUGGCCUUAAUUGGCUGGGACGUGGAUUCGGCGAUGUUACUUUGAAAAAAUUAGAGUGUUCAAAGCAAGCUAAAGCUCUGAAUACAUUAGCAUGGAAUAACGCGAGAGGACUCGGUCCUUAUUUUGUUGGUCUUCAAGGAUUGAGUAAUGAUUAAGAGGGACAGUUGGGGGCAUUCGUAUUUCAUUGUCAGAGGUGAAAUUCUUGGAUUUAUGAAAGACGAACUUCUGCGAAAGCAUUUGCCAAGGAUGUUUUCAUUGAUCAAGAACGAAAGUA
Molecule: ribosomal RNA, 400 nt
Filed under: phytoplankton environmental sample
Lineage: Eukaryota
Description: partial small subunit ribosomal RNA
Rfam family: Eukaryotic small subunit ribosomal RNA
Source: RNAcentral